RNAcentral lists this ribosomal RNA (546 nucleotides) under uncultured bacterium. Its description in RNAcentral is "bacterial SSU rRNA". It matches the Rfam family "Bacterial small subunit ribosomal RNA", at positions 772 to 1308 of the family's 1533-position model. The record is from RNAcentral.
ACUAAAUAGAUACCCAGGUAGUCCACGCCCUAAACGAUGUCUACUAGUUGUUGGUGGAGUAAAAUCCAUGAGUAAACGCAGCUAAACGCGUGAAGUAGACCGCCUGGGGAGUACGGUCGCAAGAUUAAAACUCAAAGGAAUUGACGGGGGCCCGGCACAAGCGGUGGAUUAUGUGGAUUAAAUUCGAUGCAACGCGAAAAACCUUACCUGGCCUUGACAUGCCACUAACGAAGCAGAGAUGCAUUAGGUGCCCGUAACGGGAAAGUGGACACAGGUGCUGCAUGGCUGUCGUCAGCUCGUGUCGUGAGAUGUUGGGUUAAGUCCCGCAACGAGCGCAACCCUUGCCAUUAAUUGCCAUCAUUUAGUUGGGCACUUUAAUGGGACUGCCGGUGACAAACCGGAGGAAGGUGGGGAUGACGUCAAGUCCUCAUGGCCCUUAUGGCCAGGGCUUCACACGUAAUACAAUGGUCGGGUACAGAGAGUUGCCAACCCGCGAGGGGGUAGCUAAUCUCAGAAAAGCCGAUCGUAGUCCGGAUUGUUCUCUGC